RNAcentral lists this ribosomal RNA (254 nucleotides) under uncultured bacterium. Its description in RNAcentral is "partial 16S ribosomal RNA". It matches the Rfam family "Bacterial small subunit ribosomal RNA", at positions 524 to 776 of the family's 1533-position model. The record is from RNAcentral.
UACGGGGGAUGCAAGCGUUAUCCGGAUUUAUUGGGUUUAAAGGGUGCGUAGGCUGUGAGGUAAGUCAGCGGUGAAAUGCCCCCGCUCAACGGGGUGAAGUGCCAUUGAUACUGCCUUGCUGGAAUGCGGAUGCCGUGGGAGGAAUGUGUGGUGUAGCGGUGAAAUGCAUAGAUAUCACACAGAACACCGAUUGCGAAGGCAUCUCACGAAUCCGCGACUGACGCUGAUGCACGAAAGCGUGGGUAUCAAACAGG